RNAcentral lists this ribosomal RNA (509 nucleotides) under uncultured bacterium. RNAcentral describes it as "partial 16S ribosomal RNA". It matches the Rfam family "Bacterial small subunit ribosomal RNA", at positions 355 to 853 of the family's 1533-position model. The record is from RNAcentral.
UGGGGAAUUUUGGACAAUGGGCGAAAGCCUGAUCCAGCAAUGCCGCGUGUGUGAAGAAGGCCUUCGGGUUGUAAAGCACUUUUGUCCGGAAAGAAAUCCUUGGCUCUAAUACAGUCGGGGGAUGACGGUACCGGAAGAAUAAGCACCGGCUAACUACGUGCCAGCAGCCGCGGUAAUACGUAGGGUGCAAGCGUUAAUCGGAAUUACUGGGCGUAAAGCGUGCGCAGGCGGUUUGCUAAGACCGAUGUGAAAAUCCCCGGGCUCAACCUGGGAACUGCAUUGGUGACUGGCAGGCUAGAGUAUGGCAGAGGGGGGUAGAAUUCCACGUGUAGCAGUGAAAAUGCGUAGAGAUGUGGAGGAAUACCGAUGGCGAAGGCGGCCCCCUGGGCCAAUACUGACGCUCAUGCACGAAAAGCGUGGGGAGCAAACAGGAUUAGAUACCCUGGUAGUCCACGCCCUAAAACGAUGUCAACUAGUUGUUGGGGAUUCAUUUCCUUAGUAACGUAGCU